RNAcentral lists this ribosomal RNA (331 nucleotides) under uncultured bacterium. Its description in RNAcentral is "bacterial SSU rRNA". It matches the Rfam family "Bacterial small subunit ribosomal RNA", at positions 568 to 898 of the family's 1533-position model. The record is from RNAcentral.
CGCGCAGGCGGCUUCAGAAGUCAGGCGUGAAAGCCCCGGGCUCAACCUGGGAAUAGCGUUUGAUACUCUGAGGGUAGAGUACGGGAGAGGAGAGUGGAAUUCCCAGUGUAGAGGUGAAAUUCGUAGAUAUUGGGAAGAACACCAGUGGCGAAGGCGGCUCUCUGGACCGAGACUGACGCUGAGGCGCGAAAGCGUGGGGAGCAAACAGGAUUAGAUACCCUGGUAGUCCACGCUGUAAACGAUGUGUGCUAGACGUUGGGAGACGUAGUCUUCCGGUGUCGCAGCUAACGCUUUAAGCACACCGCCUGGGGAGUACGGCCGCAAGGUUAAA